Suricata suricatta (meerkat) is the source of this 693-nucleotide long non-coding RNA. RefSeq lists it as uncharacterized. NCBI's taxonomy places the organism in Eukaryota, Metazoa, Chordata, Mammalia, Carnivora, Herpestidae. The record is from RefSeq and is a predicted model, not a curated record. The transcript has 3 exons.
GGUUAGAGCCACGUGAAUAGAUGAUACCACCGGGAAAGGAAACAGAGAGAAAAGCAAUGAGCUAAGGCAGAGCCCCGAGGGACCCAGCCUCCAGUGGAUGGGCAGGGGGAAAGGGAUGCAUGAAACAGCCUGGGAACCUAAGACCCGAAGAAGAGAAGAGCUCUAAAGAGGCCAAGGAAAUGGAGAAUCUCAAGAAGCUGUAAGAGGGCUGCAAUAAAACUGGGUCUGGUGGAGGUUGAGAAAUUCAUUGAGCCAACAUUGAAAGAGACAGGAAAAUGGCUGCUGCCUUCAGAAGAAACAGUUGGAGAGGAGAAGGAAAUUCUCUGAAUACUUCUAUAGGUGAGCUCACAGACCUGCGUGGAUACAACAGGCUUGACUCCCACAAUAUCUUACCAAAAUAUUACCUGCAGACUUCUGUUUACUUCGCUAUGCAAGUUUCAGGGAUUUGCCCUUGGAGAACUGCAGCCAGCCCUCUGAGAUGCCAGCCCUGCACCCUCACUAGACAUCUAUCAAAGGUCAUAAUAUCCAAAGCCACAUGUGGAGUCUUCAAUUUGAAGUCAGCAUGUUAAAGGGAACAACCUCUUUGAUCUCAGCUGCAGCAAAUUCUUCCUCGACACGUCUCCACAGGCAAGGGAAAUAAAAGCAAAAAUUAACUAUUGGGACUGCAUCAAGAUAAAAAGCUCUGCACAGCAA